This 1234-nucleotide ribosomal RNA is filed under the name metagenome. RNAcentral's name for it is "bacterial SSU rRNA". It matches the Rfam family "Bacterial small subunit ribosomal RNA", at positions 254 to 1498 of the family's 1533-position model. The record is from RNAcentral.
GGGGUAACGGCCCACCAAGGCAACGAUCAGUAGGGGUUCUGAGAGGAAGGUCCCCCACAUUGGAACUGAGACACGGUCCAAACUCCUACGGGAGGCAGCAGUGAGGAAUAUUGGUCAGUGGGCGAGAGCCUGAACCAGCCAAGUAGCGUGCAGGAAGACGGCCCUAUGGGUUGUAAACUGCUUUUAUAAGGGAAUAAAGUUAGUCUCGUGAGACUUUUUGCAUGUACCUUAUGAAUAAGGACCGGCUAAUUCCGUGCCAGCAGCCGCGGUAAUACGGAAGGUCCGGGCGUUAUCCGGAUUUAUUGGGUUUAAAGGGAGCGUAGGCCGGAGAUUAAGCGUGUUGUGAAAUGUAGACGCUCAACGUCUGCACUGCAGCGCGAACUGGUUUCCUUGAGCACGCACAAAGUGGGCGGAAUUCGUGGUGUAGCGGUGAAAUGCUUAGAUAUCACGAAGAACUCCGAUUGCGAAGGCAGCUCACUGGAGCGCAACUGACGCUGAAGCUCGAAAGUGCGGGUAUCGAACAGGAUUAGAUACCCUGGUAGUCCGCACGGUAAACGAUGGAUGCCCGCUGUUGGUCUGAACAGGUCAGCGGCCAAGCGAAAGCAUUAAGCAUCCCACCUGGGGAGUACGCCGGCAACGGUGAAACUCAAAGGAAUUGACGGGGGCCCGCACAAGCGGAGGAACAUGUGGUUUAAUUCGAUGAUACGCGAGGAACCUUACCCGGGCUUGAAUUGCAGAGGAAGGAUUUGGAGACAAUGACGCCCUUCGGGGUCUCUGUGAAGGUGCUGCAUGGUUGUCGUCAGCUCGUGCCGUGAGGUGUCGGCUUAAGUGCCAUAACGAGCGCAACCCCUCUCCUUAGUUGCCAUCAGGUUAAGCUGGGCACUCUGGGGACACUGCCACCGUAAGGUGUGGGGAAGGUGGGGAUGACGUCAAAUCAGCACGGCCCUUAUGUCCGGGGCUACACACGUGUUACAAUGGCAGGUACAGAGAGACGGUUGUACGUAAGUACGAUCAAAUCCUUAAAGCCUGUCUCAGUUCGGACUGGGGUCUGCAACCCGACCCCACGAAGCUGGAUUCGCUAGUAAUCGCGCAUCAGCCAUGGCGCGGUGAAUACGUUCCCGGGCCUUGUACACACCGCCCGUCAAGCCAUGAAAGCCGGGGGCGCCUAAAGUCCGUGACCGUAAGGAGCGGCCUAGGGCGAAACUGGUAAUUGGGGCUAAGUCGUAACAAGGUA